CAAACUUUGUGGUCAUAGGUCAGCUUGCCAAAACAUGAAAUCAAGACCCACUUUGGAAUAUAUCAUGAACAUUGGAGCUGCUGCUUUUUCUUCAUCCACAUGGUGGACCACUCAGAGUAAAAUACUUUUUCAAAUCCUCAUCACCUCUCGAUAACUACAAUCUAACAACUACUGGUCUACAGUUAUAGUGUUUUGACUGCACACUGCCGACUCUAAAAGAUCGACCAUAUCUGGAGCAAUGGUCACCCCUACAUGUUUUGAUGACUACAGUCUUUACAGUGUCCUGUCAGAUGAGGAGCUGAUGAAGCUGGCCAUCGAUCGCAGCCUCAUUGAGGACAACAACUCUAUUGGGUCAAUUCAAUCAUCACAAUCUGUGGAUCGACAACCCAAUUACCAGCCAAACCAAUUUACGACUCGUGUCAGGCUCCCCUCUGCAAACAAGGCACAUGUAUGACUUUCCCGAGCCAAUCCAAACCCAGCCAACCCACAUCCAAACCCAUCACCUGCAAACCCUCCAUCAGCAGACCCUAUUGUAGAUGCAAGACCCCUGGUGAAUGUGAUCAAGAAUGGGGAUUUAAAGGCUCUGAAAGAGAUAGUGAAAUGCAACCCAAUGAGUCUCUUGGUACCAAAUGAGGGAGGAUGGAUGUCUCUCCACGAAGCUGCAUAUUACGGUCAAAUAGAAUGCCUCAAGAUUAUAUUAAGAGCCCAUCCUGGUAUGGUGAACACAUGUGGUAGUUACAAUCAGACCCCACUUCUUUUGGCUGCCGCCUUUCACCGAGUGAACUGUGUUGAGUGCCUUCUGGACAGAGGUGCCAAUCCAGACAUUGCCAAUGAGAAUGGAGAAACACCACUCU
Oncorhynchus mykiss (rainbow trout) is the source of this 854-nucleotide non-coding RNA. NCBI's taxonomy places the organism in Eukaryota, Metazoa, Chordata, Actinopteri, Salmoniformes, Salmonidae. The record is from RefSeq and is a predicted model, not a curated record.